Molecule: ribosomal RNA, 500 nt
Filed under: uncultured bacterium
Lineage: Bacteria
Description: partial 16S ribosomal RNA
Rfam family: Bacterial small subunit ribosomal RNA
Source: RNAcentral
AUUGAACGCUGGCGGCAUGCCUUACACAUGCAAGUCGAACGGUAACGGGUCCUUCGGGAUGCCGACGAGUGGCGAACGGGUGAGUAAUAUAUCGGAACGUGCCCAGUAGUGGGGGAUAACUGCUCGAAAGAGCAGCUAAUACCGCAUACGACCUGAGGGUGAAAGGGGGGGAUCGCAAGACCCCUCCCUCUUGGAGCGGCCGAUACCAGAUUAGCUAGUUGGUGGGGUAAAGGCCUACCAAGGCAACGACCUGUAGUUGGUCUGAGAGGACGACCAGCCACACUGGGACUGAGACACGGCCCAGACUCCUACGGGAGGCAGCAGUGGGGAAUUUUGGACAAUGGGCGCAAGCCUGAUCCAGCAAUGCCGCGUGCAGGAAGAAGGCCUUCGGGUUGUAAACUGCUUUUGUCAGGGAAGAAAUCUUCUGGGCUAAUACCCCGGGAGGAUGACGGUACCCAAAGAAUAAGCACCGGCUAACUUCGUGCCAGCAGCCGCCGCCG